Molecule: unclassified non-coding RNA, 240 nt
Filed under: soil metagenome
Description: partial contains 5.8S ribosomal RNA, internal transcribed spacer 2, and large subunit ribosomal RNA
Source: RNAcentral
AACCAUAGAAACCUGCGGAGUACCUGCGGAAGGAUCAUUACAGAGUUGCAAAACUCCCUAAACCAUUGUGGACGUUACCUAAACCGUUGCUUCGGCGGGCGGCCCGGGUCCUUCCCGGCGCCCAUCGGCCCUCGCGGGCGCCCGCCGGAGGUAAACCAAACUAUUGCAUUGUAUGGCCUCUCUGAGUCUUCUGUACUGAAUAAGUCAAAACUUUCAACAACGGAUCUCAGAUCGGAAGAG